RNAcentral lists this ribosomal RNA (253 nucleotides) under uncultured bacterium. RNAcentral's name for it is "partial 16S ribosomal RNA". It matches the Rfam family "Bacterial small subunit ribosomal RNA", at positions 524 to 776 of the family's 1533-position model. The record is from RNAcentral.
UACGGAGGGUGCAAGCGUUGUCCGGAUUUAUUGGGUUUAAAGGGUGCGUAGGUGGCCUAUUAAGUCAGUGGUGAAAUUUUGCAGCUUAACUGUAAAACUGCCAUUGAUACUGGUAGGCUUGAGUAUUGUAGAGGCAGGCGGAAUUUAUGAUGUAGCGGUGAAAUGCAUAGAUAUCAUAAAGAACACCGAUAGCGAAGGCAGCUUGCUAAGCAGUAACUGACACUAAUGCACGAAAGCGUGGGUAGCGAACAGG